RNAcentral lists this ribosomal RNA (52 nucleotides) under Fusarium sp. KC-2010b. RNAcentral describes it as "partial 28S ribosomal RNA". Lineage: Eukaryota; Fungi; Ascomycota; Sordariomycetes; Hypocreales; Nectriaceae. The record is from RNAcentral.
AAUCAGGUAGGAAUACCCGCUGAACUUAAGCAUAUCAAUAGCAGGGAGGAAA